UUUAUAAAAAAUAAACAAGCUAAAAUUAAUUAAAAAUUAUAAGAAGAAAUUUAUCCGGGCGUAGCCCGGACAAAGACCCUAGUAAUUGAAAAAUCAUAAUAAAUCAGCAUUAAAAAAACUAAAAUAUAAUUAAUUCACUCAACUAGAAAGUGAGAUUUGACCAAAACGUAGUUUUAGUAUAUAAUAAAAGCCAUAGGGGUAUUAGUAUGUGACUAUAAAAUUUACAAUAAAAAUUAUUAGAUGUAAAGAAUCUGAGC
Molecule: long non-coding RNA, 257 nt
Filed under: Brassica napus (rape)
Lineage: Eukaryota; Viridiplantae; Streptophyta; Magnoliopsida; Brassicales; Brassicaceae
Description: long non-coding RNA (BNAP_LNC023501)
Source: RNAcentral